RNAcentral lists this non-coding RNA (21 nucleotides) under Caenorhabditis elegans. Lineage: Eukaryota; Metazoa; Nematoda; Chromadorea; Rhabditida; Rhabditidae. The record is from RNAcentral.
UAGAGUGAUAUGUUGAGAACA